RNAcentral lists this ribosomal RNA (301 nucleotides) under uncultured bacterium. Its description in RNAcentral is "partial 16S ribosomal RNA". It matches the Rfam family "Bacterial small subunit ribosomal RNA", at positions 509 to 807 of the family's 1533-position model. The record is from RNAcentral.
CAGCCGCCGCGGGAAUACGAAGGGUGCAAGCGUUACUCGGAAUUACUGGGCGUAAAGCGUGCGUAGGUGGUGGUUUAAGUCCGUUGUGAAAGCCCUGGGCUCCACCUGGAAAUUGCAGUGGAUACUGGGUCACUAGAGUGUGGUAGAGGAUAGUGGAAUUUCCGGUGUAGCAGUGAAAUGCGUAGAGAUCGGAAGGAACAUCUGUGGCGAAGGCGACUAUCUGGGCCAACACUGACACUGAGGCACGAAAGCGUGGGGAGCAAACAGGAUUAGAUACCCCCGUAGUCCCUGUCUCUUAUAC